GGCUACUCAGAACAGCUAGACUGCUCGCCUGACUGGGUCCUGAGCCUCUGGAGCCUACAGUAAGGGUGAAACGACUGUGUCACAUUGUCCACUACGGGUUAAGUAGAAAACGGCCUGUACCAUUCCCACCUCUUGACUGGCUUCCAAUGCCACUACUGAUCCAAUGGGGGAAUCGACAGAAUCCCUGUGUGAUGCAGAAACUGGCAGAUUGCAGCCGGUAGCAACAAGAAGCACUGAGAUGUGUGUGGGCCCAAGAAGGACAGGAAGACACAGUACACAUGUAUCAAGUACAAGAAAUACAUUUGCAAUACACACACAGUAAAAAAACUCUGUCCCUUAUGUGGGGUGUAGACCGGCAUUAAUUUGUGUUCAAUUUGUGCUCAUUUUUCACUUCCGUAAAAUAUUGUACGUAAAAUUUGUCCUUCAAAUUUGUUCAGUUCAAAGUAAUAAACAUCAGUAGUGA
Long non-coding RNA from Salmo salar (Atlantic salmon), 463 nucleotides. RefSeq lists it as uncharacterized. NCBI's taxonomy places the organism in Eukaryota, Metazoa, Chordata, Actinopteri, Salmoniformes, Salmonidae. The record is from RefSeq and is a predicted model, not a curated record.